This 303-nucleotide ribosomal RNA is filed under the name uncultured bacterium. RNAcentral describes it as "bacterial SSU rRNA". It matches the Rfam family "Bacterial small subunit ribosomal RNA", at positions 355 to 672 of the family's 1533-position model. The record is from RNAcentral.
UGGGGAAUAUUGGGCAAUGGAGGCAACUCUGACCCAGCAACGCCGCGUGAAUGAAGAAGGCCUUCGGGUUGUAAAGUUCUUUAAUUGGGGACGAAGGAAAUGACGGUACCCAAAGAAUAAGCCACGGCUAACUACGUGCCAGCAGCCGCGGUAAUACGUAGGUGGCAAGCGUUGUCCGGAAUGACUGGGCGUAAAGGGAGCGUAGGCGGCGCGGUAAGUUAGGAGUGAAAUCCCGGGGCUCAACCCCGGAACUGCUUUUAAAACUGCCGUGCUUGAGUGAUGGAGAGGAAAGCGGAAUUCCUA